This 354-nucleotide ribosomal RNA is filed under the name Triticum aestivum (bread wheat). RNAcentral describes it as "partial small subunit ribosomal RNA". Lineage: Eukaryota; Viridiplantae; Streptophyta; Magnoliopsida; Poales; Poaceae. The record is from RNAcentral.
AUGCACACACGGAUCCGGCCUAACCAUCCUGCAGCUGUGGUGGCGGGCCACCAGGACGGCGGCGGGAACCACCAACCCAUCUUGAGACCUCAACGACGGCGGGUACCAAGAACCGAUGCUGCAGCAACCGCGCGCGUCACAAGGAGGGUGGGUGUGGUUGCUACCGGAGUAGUGAAUGCUGCGCUUGGCGCUGGACCAACAGUGGCUGGGUGGGCCGCGACGCUUGAUUGGGUCGUUUCCAACUGCCCCGGCAUCGAUGGCGACGAGAUGGUGCACCGACCAACAUGGCCAUUCACGUGCAAGGACCCCAUGAAUCUCGUGUACGCGACCAAGGUGCCAGCGUUGAUGACAUAA